This 141-nucleotide transfer RNA is filed under the name Klosneuvirus KNV1. RNAcentral describes it as "tRNA-Met". It matches the Rfam family "tRNA". Rfam says of the family: Transfer RNA (tRNA) molecules are approximately 80 nucleotides in length. The record is from RNAcentral. Lineage: Varidnaviria; Bamfordvirae; Nucleocytoviricota; Megaviricetes; Imitervirales; Mimiviridae.
GGUUGCUUAGCUCAGCCGGUAGAGCGCCUAAACCCAUGCGAUAGACGCAAUCAUCUCUAAGAGAUGCACAGUCACAAUCGCUCCUUCGAUUAUAAUGCAAUUUAGAGCAGGAGACGGGUGGUUCGAAUCCCCCAGCAACCA